This 465-nucleotide ribosomal RNA is filed under the name uncultured bacterium. RNAcentral describes it as "partial 16S ribosomal RNA". It matches the Rfam family "Bacterial small subunit ribosomal RNA", at positions 28 to 507 of the family's 1533-position model. The record is from RNAcentral.
GACGAACGCUGGCGGCGUGCUUAACACAUGCAAGUCGAACGGAAAGGCCCUGCUUGCAGGGUACUCGAGUGGCGAACGGGUGAGUAACACGUGGGUGAUCUGCCCUGCACUUCGGGAUAAGCCUGGGAAACUGGGUCUAAUACCGGAUAGGAGCCAUUUUUCGUGUGAUGGUUGGAAAGUUUUUUUGGUGUAGGAUGAGCUCGCGGCCUAUCAGCUUGUUGGUGGGGUAAUGGCCUACCAAGGCGGCGACGGGUAGCCGGCCUGAGAGGGUGGACGGCCACAUUGGGGCUGGGAAUCGGCCCAGACUCCUUCGGGAGGCAGCAGGUGGGGAUAUUGCACAAAGAGCGCAAGCCUGAUGCAACGACGCCGGGGGGGGGGUGACGGCCUUCGGGUUGUAAACUCCUUUCGCUAGGGACGAAACUUUUUGUGACGGUACCUAGAUAAGAAGCACCGGCUAACUACGUG